This 754-nucleotide ribosomal RNA is filed under the name uncultured Rhodobacterales bacterium. RNAcentral describes it as "partial 16S ribosomal RNA". The record is from RNAcentral. Lineage: Bacteria; Pseudomonadati; Pseudomonadota; Alphaproteobacteria; Rhodobacterales.
AGAUCAUCAAAUCGGUGCUGAAAUCCACCGCUUCGAUCCGCUCGAUUGCGUCGGUGGUGAAUGUCGAGGCGAACUCGUUCGACGUGCUGAUCGACCACACUGAUGUGGGCGCAGGCUGGGCCGACGAAACUGCGGUCGCAACCGAGACCGCGACCCCGUCGAUCGACCGCAUCUCGAUUGCGCUGCACGAGCUGAGUGCUCUGCCCAAAGCCUCACAGCGUCUGCUGGAUGACAGCGCGUUUGACGUCGAGGGCUGGCUGGCCGGUCGCAUCGCCGACAAGUUUGCCCGCGCCGAGGCAGCGGCGUUCAUCCCAGGCGACGGCGCCGAUAAGCCGAAGGGUAUUCUGGACCACACUAAGGUCGACAAUGAUGUCUGGGCCUGGGGCAAUAUCGGCUACGUGCCCACCGGCAUCGACGGUGGUGUCGAAGCGGAUGCGAUUGUCGACGUGGUCUAUGCGCUGGGUGCCCAGUACCGCGUGAACGGUACUUUCGUGAUGAACUCGAAAACCGCCGGUCUGAUCCGCAAGCUGAAAGACAGCGAUGGUCGCUUCCUGUGGUCGGACGGUCUGGCCGCCGGUGAGCCCGCGCGUCUGAUGGGCUAUCCGGUUCUAAUCGCCGAGGAUAUGCCGGAUGCGGCCUCCGACAGCUUCUCGAUUGCCUUCGGUGACUUCCAGGCCGGUUACACCAUCGCCGAACGUCCCGAUCUGCGCGUCCUGUGCGACCCGUUCAGCGCCAAACCGCAUGUCCUGUUCUA